RNAcentral lists this ribosomal RNA (447 nucleotides) under uncultured bacterium. RNAcentral's name for it is "bacterial SSU rRNA". It matches the Rfam family "Bacterial small subunit ribosomal RNA", at positions 355 to 825 of the family's 1533-position model. The record is from RNAcentral.
UCGGGAAUUUUGGGCAAUGGGCGAAAGCCUGACCCAGCAACGCCGCGUGAAGGAUGAAGUAUUUCGGUAUGUAAACUUCGAAAGAAUAGGAAGAAUAAAUGACGGUACUAUUUAUAAGGUCCGGCUAACUACGUGCCAGCAGCCGCGGUAAUACGUAGGGACCAAGCGUUGUUCGGAUUCAUUGGGCGUAAAGGGCGUGUAGGCGGUAUGUUAAGUCAUGUGUGAAAUCCCUCGGCUCAACCGGGGAACGACGCAUGAAACUGGCAAGCUAGAGUACCAAAGAGGGUGGUGGAAUUCCCGGUGUAGCGGUGAAAUGCGUAGAUAUCGGGAGGAACAUCAGUGGCGAAGGCGGCCCUCUGGUCCAGUACUGACACUCAAGUGCGAAAGCGUGGGGAGCAAACAGGAUUAGAUACCCAAGUAGUCCCUGAGCGGGCUGGCAAGGCGCAU